UACUAGAGUAGCACUCGCAUAUCAAUAAGCGGAGGAAAAGAAACUAACAAGGAUUCCCCUAGUAACGGCGAGUGAAGCGGGAAGAGCUCAAAUUUGAAAUCUUAAAGGGUUUCCCUUUACGAAUUGUAGUUUAAAGAAGUGUUUUCUGUUGAGGUUUUGGUAAAAGUUCUUUGGAAUAGGACAUCAUAGAGGGUGAGAAUCCCGUAUUUGACCUUUACUUUCAACUUUGUGAUACACUUUCAAAGAGUCGGAUUGUUUGGGAAUGCAGUCCAAAAUGGGUGGUAAAUUUCAUCUAAAGCUAAAUAUUGGCGAGAGACCGAUAGCGAACAAGUACCGUGAGGGAAAGAUGAAAAGAACUUUGAAAAGAGAGUUAAACAGUACGUGAAAUUGUCAAAAGGGAAGCGUUUGACACCAGUGUUGUCUUUCUGAAAAUCAAUUAAAGAACUGUUUAUGCUAAGUUGUUUAGACUUUAUCAGCUAUCUGUUUAGUUUUGAGCUUUUCUUUAAUGCACUUUUCAGUUAACAAGUCAACAUCAAUUUCCUUUUGCUGUAAAAAAGCUUGAGGAAGGUGGCUUGAGAUUCGUCUUAAGUGUUUAUAGCCUCUUGCCUAUGCAGUCGGAGAGAUUGAGGUCUGCAGCGUAGAUCCUUCGGGGCUAAAUGCAUUUGUGCUAAGUUAUAGCAUUUUAUAGACAGCUUGUUGACUAUGAUUUGUCUUGUAGCUUACUCGCUUAUGUUAUUUUACCUACGCUUAGGAUGUUGAGCGCAUGUCUCUCUCU
This 775-nucleotide ribosomal RNA is filed under the name uncultured Neocallimastigales. RNAcentral's name for it is "partial large subunit ribosomal RNA". It matches the Rfam family "Eukaryotic large subunit ribosomal RNA", at positions 20 to 616 of the family's 3401-position model. The record is from RNAcentral. Lineage: Eukaryota; Fungi; Neocallimastigomycota; Neocallimastigomycetes; Neocallimastigales.